GAAGAAGAAAGAAGACUGGCAACAGUUGUUAGCUCAGGUGCCAAUCUUAAAAAAAAAAAAGCCCAAGAGAGAACUAUUGAUCACAAACCCUCCUCAGGGAGCUCUCCCUGACUUCUCGUAGAGGACAUCAGUCACCCCUGCCUUGGUGGUCCACUCAGAGGACCCUUCCAUAUUCCACUCUUCUCCUUGAUGAUACAGACCAAACUAUGUCACAGCCAGCACCACACAUUCUGUUGGUGCUCAAUAGAUGUUCCACAAGCACAUAAGUGAACAAACUCGUGUGCCUUGCACCAAGCAGGAGCCCUCUGAGGAAGAUAGUAUUUUUUCCCUUUUGUUGAUGAGGAAGUCCACGCUGUCCUUCAGCUCUGGGAGAAUUUAAAACCAAAGUCUUAGUAUCCCCGGGCUCUGAGCAGUCUGUUUUUCUCUUUCUCAAACAAAUAAGCUUAAUACGUUUAUAGGUUUGAUUUAUUUUUAUUAGCUUCCAUGCUGGUCAACAUAAAAUAAUUAUAAAUUCAAGAUUACAGUGAAAAUCACUACCAUUUUAAUUUUAAAAAAGUGUAGGAGGUUGUAGGCUGUAUACAGUCUUCCACGUUUUCUCCUGAGAACAUUAAAAAAAAAAUCCUGUCAUGCAGUAGAAAAGGUUUUAAUAGAAAGGGGAAGGAAAAAGGAGAAGACAGUGGGAGCGGGGAGAGUGCGGGCAGGAAUCUGCGAGCUGAAGAGAACCCCCCCAUGAGAAACUGGAAUUCCCAUCAGCUCCGAGAGCAGAAGCAGGGGCGCCAGGUGGGGCCCCUCCAGGCUCUGGGCGGCCUCUCCUCCAGAGGGCGCAGCAGAGACCCCCAUGGCUGGUCGCCGCGGCGCGCCCCCGCCCCCGGAGGUGGACUUCUGGCCUUCCAUGCAGCUACCAGGUUUGGUUCAGGCACACGGAGGGUACUGCCUCUCUGGGCGUCUGUCACCCUUUAAGAGAGCCACUGCCUGGUCCAGAAAAGCGUGUGCUCUUCAGUCACAGCCCACCCCAGGUCUUCCUGACUCCACUGUCCACCUGGCUGUGUGGAUGAGUAAUGGGUCAGCUGGGCCGGCACCUCCCCCUCCGCACCCCGCGGCCUUACAGGUCCCCCCUCCCCGCUUUCCCCCCUCCCCCUCCCCCUCCCUCCCCCCACACAGUCUGGAGGUUGCCACACUGGGAGAAGGGUAAGGCAGGGCACAAUUUGUCUCUGUGUAAUUAUCUGUCAGGUACAGCUUGUGAAAUCUCAGCCAUCUGCCCCCCACCACGCAAGAAAAUAAAUUACACACAUGCACACGGAGACACGGAUAGCACGAUGAUCCUGCCCUCCGCCGCCAGCGGGCUCAGCUCCGGGAGAAAGCUCUGCCACGGCGAGCCCGAGCCGAGGACUGCUGAUUCCUGCACUGCACCAGCCCCCGUCCUCCUCUCUCCCAGGCCCCUAACACUUAAGCUUGCAUCUUUUCAGCCUGAGUUCCUCGCUGGGAAGGAGGGGGAGGUCCAUGUGGCCUCAGAAAUCAAGGGUGUUGAGAAAGAAAACAAACAAAAUUCUUGGCCAUUUCUGAUGAGAUGAGUUGGAGGAGGGGGAGAGGCCUUAGAGUUGCCUGUAAUUUCUAAAAUGCACUGUAAUGUGGCUGCAGAUGCAAUGGACUGAGUCCUUUCUCUGUAAUAGUGAUGGCGACCCCUUUUUAGGAUACAGCCAGUGGGUCCGGGCACUGUGCUAAGCUCCUUACACAUGGCUUUUCAUUGAUCUCCACAAUGAAACCCUGUGGAACUGGUGUUUUUAUCCUCACUGAGAAGAUGAAGAUUUGGAGUUUCAGAGAAGUCAAGUGAUUUGCCCACAGUCACACAGCUGGUUGGACCGGACUCAAGGCCCACCUCUUCAUGAGGAAGGAAUGGAGGGAAUGUGAGGUCUAGCUCGUGGCUGCAGAGGAGCAGGGAGUAGGCUGUUACUUCUUGUGUGAACUUUUGUUUUUCUUCUUUACAAUGUGCGUCAUAUGUUCAUCUUCUCUGAAGCCUCGCGAGAAUUAAAUGAGCUAGCAGGUCUUGGCACUUGUAAGGGCUCAAGAAAUGAGGAGCUUCACCCUUCAGCCUCUCUUCAGUGUCCCUCUGCACACAGGGAGCUCUGUGCUGGGAGACUGGCUGGACACAGAUGCCCUUGAGGACUCAGAGGAGCAUUUUGGGUCAGGAGUCCCAACCCUCGCUGUGCUCAGGACCCCCUGGCAGUCUGGUGAAGCCUAUAGACUCCUCAUAAUGUUCCGAAACGCAUGCACAAUUACCAAGAAGUUCCAAGGAAGCCAGUUUUACUGUCACACAGUUAUAGAAAGAAUCAAAAAACCAAAUUUGUGACAUAGUAAUCUCCCACCUCCUCUAACAGCGCCUUCAAUAACCAGAUCGAACAGCACAUCUCAUCACUACCAGAAUUUCAAAGUUGUGCUGAGUGUAAAUGAUAUUUCCAGAGACCUGCAGCAGUGGAGAGAAUAUGAGAGCAUCUUGAUUUCUAGCAGCGACAGCAGCACAGGUGUGGCCCAUUCUGCUGUAGUAGAGAAAUACUGAAUUCACUUACAGGUUAGUGAGAAGGUAUCCCCUCCAUCCAGGUUCCCAGACCCUCAAAAAUCUCUCCGUGGAUCCCACCUUAGGAGUAGAAGCAAUUGGCUGAAACACAUGUUAAUGUGAAUUAAAAAGUGCAAUUUAGGGGUAGACAAUGGGGGAGAUCAAAGAAAGCCUUCCUUCUGACAGAGAGGGCUUGACAGUAUGCGGGCCUUGCUUUGCUUGGGUCUACCUGGGAGGGCUUUCUGGAAUAUACAAGGUGUUUUUAUGAAUGAGGCAACCAAGGACCAGAGCAGUUGAGUGACAGGCCUGAGAGCCCUAAGGAGGAAGCAGCGAAAGCCGGGCUCAAACUCUUCAGUGCCCCUGACUCUGAUCCCAGGUGGUCUCCACCUCCCUGUGUCCCCAUUUCCCUCUGCCCUCCUCUCUGAAGGUGAACACAGGCCCCCUUUGUUGAGCUCUGCUCUUCCCGCCCCUCCGCACUGCACUGUGCUCUGGAUCUCACGUGGCUCCCACGUGGCUCCGUGGUUCACUGCUGCACAGCUGUGAGGAAACUUUGCUUGUUAGGGUUUGGGCUGGGUGGCAGGAGGGAGCUGGGCUCAGUGGAGUGGGGGCAGCUCCUUCAAGCUGAAGACAAAGGCUGGUUCACUAUUCAGGUGGGAUGAGAAAAAGCCACUGGCAUUUACUGGGGGUGAGGAAGUAGGGACCAGAAGCCCCUGGGCUCCCUAUUAGCGGGAUGGAUAAACCAGGCCAGGUAAAGCCUUUGGCGAUGGAGCUACCCACAGCAUGUCCCUGGGAUGUGAGGGGGAGGGGCUCCUGUACCACCAGUCUUCUGGGUGGAAAGAUUUUGAGCCUUGGACUCAGAGGAUCUGGCUGUACCCCUGACUCGCUUUGGGACCUUGAGCAAGUCACUUUACUUCUUAACCCUGUUUUCUCAACUGUGAAAGAGGACUGAUGAGAGCUUCUUCCUUUCUGCUCUCCGGGGGAGUCAGGGGGUGAAGUGGGCAAAACCUCUUUGUAAGAUCUACAGCGUCACAUGGGUGUUAACUAUUAUUAAGGGGAAAGUGCGCUUCUCCCAGGUCACGUGUGUAUUCUAGAGCCAUCUUGUUUGGACUGAGCUCUAAUUAAAUCAAGGAGACCCAGAAACUCCAAGGAACUUGAUCUUGCUUGACUGCUGCUCCCUUUUGACCCGAGCCAGGCAUUCGUACGUUCUAUGUACACUAAGAAAAGAUCUACCUAUAUAUGUAAAAGGAUUUACCCAUUUGGCUUUCCCUAUGUAAGAUAGAAAUUCUUAAAGGGCCUGUAGCAAACUUCACAAAUAUCCUUUCUGUCUCUCUCCUUAGACACUCAUAAUCCUAUGAAAUGGGUAUUUUUUUUUCUACUUUACAGAUGAGGAAACUGAGGCUUAUUUACACAGGGAAUUAGUGGCCAAGUGGGUCCAGGAGUCCAUCUUCUUAAUCCUUCCAGGAUUUACUUUCAUUAGAAUUAGGACAGACUCACUGUGGAGUGGAGGCAGUGGUGAUAAAAAGGGCCUGGGGAGUUAAGACAGUAUUGGAAUCCUUACUUGAAGGAAGAUUGAUAACCGGAAUUCUUCAGGGGUGUUUCCCUUAUCCUUGGUUUAUCAUCUCUGCUGCCAGGUCAGCUGGUUGGGAAAUGUCACAGCUCCUAAAACAGAGGCUUCAGGGAGAUACUCUCUGAAGUGACUUGUCCUGUUCUGGAAGCGCCAAGAGCUGUUUGUUUGGGUUUUUUGUGUCCUAAGUGCGCUGCUGUUCUGCAUGUGGGGGAUGCUGCCCUCAGGUGGUGAGACAGAUGAACUACAGAUGCACAAACAUACCUGGGCCCUCACCUGCUACCCAUAGGCAUCUUAUCGUGGCAGAGGGCUAUCUAGUAGGAUUGUCACUCACUGUAUGGUGGCCUUGCCUUAGAGAUAUGCCCCAGGCACAGAUGGCGACUUUGUGCAUGAAGACAUUGGCUUCCAGCAGCAAAGCAUCUUCAUACUCUGCAAUGCUUCAUUCCCCAGACCCCAGACUUGUGGCUCUCCAGGGCCCCAGAAAUCACCAGGAACAGCCCUGACAUGAUGUUGGAGAGAGCACUGGUUCAAGAGACAUGCUAUCUGUUCUUAACUCAGUCAUUAACUUACCGUGAAACCAGGUAUUUACCCGAGGUAUCUUUUUUAAGCCUCAAACUAUCCUGUGAGAUAAGUAUUAUGCCCAUCUUGCAGACAAAGAAAUGGAAGAAUAGAGAAUUUACAUCAGCGGUUCUCAAACUUUUUGUUUCAUUUUCCCUUUACACUCUUAACAAUUAUGGACCUUUUGUUUAUGUGGGUUAUAGUUACCCAUAUUUACGGUAUUAGAAAUGAACAUUAAACUUUAAAAAUAGUUACUAAUUCAUAUAAAAAAUAAUAAACUUACUAUAAGUUAACGUAACAUUUAGAGAGAAGAAUGGCAUCGUUUUAUCUUUUUGUAAAUCUCUUUAACACUUGGCUUAUCAGAAGACACGUCUGGUGUGUACACUCAUGAGAAAAUGAGAGUGAGAAGGAAAAUAACAUCUUAAUGUUUUUAUGAAAAUAGUUUCAACCUUGUAGAUCCCCUGAGAGGGUCCUGGGGGACCCCCGGGAUUAAAUAAUUCGCCUGUGGACGCACAGCCGGUGGCAAGUGGCGGAGCCGGGAGGCCACGCCGGCUUGUCCGGCCUCACGGUACACACUCUCGCAGCUAUCCCACACUCACCGCCUGCUCACUCACCCUCUCCGGGCAUCAGGGGCCACCUCUGUAAAAUGAUAGUGGAGUCCUGGAUGGCCUAAGGCCCUUCUGGCGCUGACACUUCACGAUUCUGUCCGGAUGACUGCAGCUCUGGGCAGUUCCGACUCGCCGGCUGCCGCCCACUUAGGGAAUCGCGGCAGUCGCGCCUCAGUGAGCUGGAACGGUGCGAGCGUCUAAAGGAACAGCGAAAGACUAGGGGCGUCUCCGUCCGCUCUCACAUGCACUUGAGAAGACAGCUCUGUGAGUCCUACACUUUUCCGAGAAAAGAGGGUCUCACCCCACCCCCAGCUUGUGGCUUCACCCGUUUCAACCUCUGACACAGCCGCUCAGUGCUCAGGGCUGGGAGAACGGGAACGGGGUGAAGGUUUUCCAUCCUAUGGCUUGCUUUUAGACAAAGUUCUGAGGAUGGACUCCUCUGAAUUCCACGUCCCCUCCCUCCUCACGAAUACCCUUAAAAAACUAUUGAGCGGAGAAAGGUUUAUAGAAGGGCUUUUCAGGGAGAAGGCAUAGAAUGCUCAAAGUCACAGAAACAGGAAAGCACUGGGGGCUUUGAAAAGUUUUGUUGUUGAACUAACGUGUUAACUAGUCUUCUUGACUCAUUCUCUCCUUAUUCCCAUUCGUCGUAAACACUGACUGUGCCAGAUUGAUCUUCAGUGUUAAUUUUACUUGUCCCUCUCCUUUGUCAGAAACCUUCCUGGCUCCCUCUUGGUUGAAAUCAAACACUCUAGUCUGGCAUUCAAGGCUCUUUACCACUGGCUGGUCCUCUUUUCUAAACCUGAUUUCCAUUGUUCCCCUACAUGCAUCAUGUGGCUCUCUCACUGUCCCUUGUCAUGCCUCACGUGCUCCCUUCCACAGUUAAGUCCAGGCUGUCCCUUUCUCUGACACUUCACCUGCUUCAGGAAGUCCUCCCUGAUUGAUCUAGCCCAUAGGGCACCUCAGGCUUUGGAAUGCCUAGAGCAUUCCAUUAGUACCCCAGCCUUGGCCUUUCUCAGAAACCACCUGGGCUUGUUACUGUCCCAAGGAAAGCCCUCAGCCUUAUCUGGACCAGCAGCUUCCUGAGGGAGCAAGCAGCGUCUUAUUCCUCUUCACUGCCUCCUGCCUGUGGUUCCUGUAUCCCACUGGAUGCUUUAUGGUGGCUGGUUCUUGUUGACUUGCUCCCUGCAGAUUCAGGACCUGGAGCUGCAGACAGACCUCUCUGAAGAAGCUGGGGAGAAGCCAGAGGAGAAACAGAGGAAGACGCAGGGCACCCCAGGCACAAGAGAACAGCACAAAUUCAUGCUAGUGACAUUUCAGAGCCAAGACUGCUCAUAGAGAAAGAAGAGCUGCCUCAAAGCAGGGGAUGUGAUGUCUUAUUCCAGGACAACUGUGGGAGGCAGCCUGGGAGGGGAAAGAUAAUCCAGCUCUACUGUGAAACUUUAGGCAGAUACUCACCCUCUCUGUUUGAGCCUCACCUUCCCUUCUGUAGGAGGGAUAAUGUCCUUCUUAUAGGAUAGUUAAGCAGAAUGAGAUACUAUAAAGACCCAGCAUGUAAUUGAUGCUCAAUAGUACAUACUUUAAAAAUUAUAAAAUUUCCAGCUCAGGAGACCUUCUGGAUAAGAAUUCCCCAUUAUUGUCGAUGACUUGAUUAUUGCCCUUUAGAGACGAACUAUCCAGCUCUCAGAAUAUAAGGGAGAGGGGAUCCCUCUGCCUUGUUGCAGGGACCAGGUUUGCUGAUGUUUGCUGCCAUCAUGUGGCCAUAAGCUUACAGUGCAGUCUGGCUGGUUUGUCAGUAAGUUCCCAGUAAGGAUAAAACUGAGGAGAUUUGGGGUGUGUGAGGAGUUUGAAGAGUAAGGAGAUCCUGGAGGACAGAAUACAAUGGAAGGAGGGUGUCUUAGAGUCCCUGGGAAGUACGGAACAUCCCAGCCCAGGAGUCUUAUAAUACAUGCACCCAGCUGUUAAAGCAAUGUCCAAUGGGAAGGACCCUUGGAGGACAUCCCCCACCCCCCUCCGCGGCCUGUCUCCUGUCUCCCAUUAGUGUUGCCCACCAGAGUUUUGUGACAUCCAGUCCCACCUAUGUCUCCAGCUUCCUAGUGCUCCAUUCUCAAGCUCUUUCUGUGCUCCAGAACCCUGUCUUUCUAUCCCAUUAAGACAGCAAACUCCUGCAUUACAGGCCUCUGCACAUGCUGAUCUCUCUGUCUAGAAUGUCGUGCCCUUCUGCCCCACUCCACCUGUUUAAUUUUCACCUGUUCCUCAUCUCUCAGUCCAAGCAUGACUUCCUCAGGUAAGCCUUCUCCAGACUAGGUCAGUUUCCUUUGAUAGAUGCUCUCAUAAAGCCAAAAUCUUUUUCAGAGCAGUUUUCUCAGUUUAUAAUUAAGCAUUCAUCUAUGUGAUUGGUUCAUUAACAUCUCUCUCUCACUAUGCUGUACAGGCUUUAGGGGAGAGAAGGUGGGACCCCUUUCUCUUGUAUCCCUGGCACCCAGGACAGAGUCCGAUACAUGUCAAGAGCUCACUAAAGUUUGUUGGAUGAAUAGGGGCAUUUGCAGGGUAGGAGAGAAAGAUCUGGAGAGUGUUGGGAGUGCUGAGGAUCUGUCUGCCAACUCUGAGGCAUGCACAGGCCUUUUGUGGAACUCCUCAUCAACAAAGAGAUGUGUGGAAACCAGGCUCACUCAUGUCAAUUCACCAUUCCCCACUCCACCCCACCCCUACUUCCCAAGCAGGCGUGCUGGACUGAGAAGGGGCAUGGGUAGCCAGCUCAAGGGGAAUGCCAGCCAGCCUCUGAUAGAGGGGGCCCAUGCUGCCAGGGGGAAGGGAUUAUGUCUUCCUUGACUGUGAGAUUCUCAGUGCCACUGCCAGCCACCCAUGAUCUGUCUCUGCUGAAGCUGGUCAACCACAGAGGUGAUCACCCCACUAUGACCAGGCACUCAAGGAGACAGGUGGGAACCCUCCCUGACUGGAGUGGGGUCCCCUUGGGUCUGGUAGCAAUACUAACCUCUCCUCAGCACCACGUGACCAAGCUCCUUAAUGUUUAUGAGUUAAAGCAGAAGUGAAAGAGUGAUGCAUGGGUUUGAGACACAGAUUACACGGCCCAGCUACCAGGGGGAUUUAUUCUUAGAGAGGGCUGAACACAGUCUCUGAUUCUAAGAUUUGGGAAAAGCUUUUUCUUUUUUUUUUAGAGAUUUUAUUUUUUCCUUUUCCUCCCCAAAGCCCCCUGGUACAUAGUUGUGUAUUUCAGUUGUGGGUCCUUUUAGUUGUGGCAUGUGGGGUGCCGCCUCAGCAUGGCCUGAUGAGCGGUGCCAUGUCCACGCCCAGGAUCUGAACCGGCGAAACCCUGGGCCACUGCAGCGGAGCGCGGGAACUUAACCACUUGGACAUGGGGCCGGCCCCUGGGAAAAGCUUUAGAGGGAAGGACUGUUGGCUUGAGACUCCAGAGUCAAGUGCAUGUGAGGAGGGAGUCAAGGGGAUACCUGAUAGGAUGCUCCUAGGAGGAAGGGUUAACAAUGGUGUUGCACAUAGAGGUUUUUCUCCUAGAAAAGUAUUCAUCCCUUCCAAGCAGAUGGUCAAAUGUUCUUGAGGAUAAGUCAAGCCUAAUUGGAUGUGAGUAUGAAUUUUAAAAACACUGCCUCUUUAAUUUGGAUUUCAUUUGAAAAGGGAGUUAAUUUUUUCCAAACUCAGAAAAGAUUUAAAAAAUGAAAUAAAAUUAUCAUUUUAGAAUGUGAUAUUUUAAAAAUUUGCCAACCCACAAAGUUGAGGAUGGAGAAGAAGAAAAAAAAGUACAUGGUGCUUCAAAUCAUUAUUUGGGAAGAAAUACUGUUUAUUCCCAGAAUUACGUGAAGAGGAGAGAGAACUUUACCUGGAAUUCAAAGUAGUGAGCUGUUCCAUUUCAAAGAUCUUCUCAAACUGAUCUUCCAGUAUAGCUUCAUUGUAGAGUUUGAGAUGUUGUGAGCGCCCAAUAAUUUCAAUAUCCCUAAGUCAACACAUGCUCAAUUUAAAAAGGAAAAUUUGGGCUUUGUAAUCAAUUUUUAAUUCUCCAUGUGUUUGUUAAUGCAGAAAUCAAGAGCCGUUUAUAAUUUUAGUCUAGAAAAUCUACAGAAGACAUUCAAACUCAGGAGCCUGGACAAGGCAAAGAACGGCAGGAUGAGAGUGAGUUAUCAUGGAGGUGGUAGAGGAGGAAAAUGACGCCUGGGGGGAGCAUCUGGCGUUGGGAGAAUUGGGUGGUUAGAGCAGCUGUUCCUUCUCAGGCUCUAAGCUCUAAAACAGCUCCAAGAUGGCCCUGCCUUUUGGACCUCCAGGUCUUCACCUCAAUAGAGUCUCCACUAAGAAUCAUAGAUCUUCAUGCCUGCAAUGUUGCCUCCUUUCUUGGGUCUGGCUGUCUAUUCUUGUUGCCUUGUCUUUGAUUACUUUCCAGGCCAGGAUGAGUAGAGCCACCAGAGUUAUUAGGAGUGCAAAGAAGAAGAGAACUUUUACUAGGUAAGCAGGAUCAGAUAUGGCAGUGCACCCUUGUCCCAUAAGAAGGCUGGAAGUUGUGGGGAAGACACAGGUUCUCAGGGACUUGAGAUACGUGGUAUAAGCAGACUGCCCAUACAACCAAGAAAACUCUAAGAGAAUUGGGCUUGCUCUUUGUUAUAUCUUAGGAUGGGUGCGGGGCUGUGGCCACUUAUCUGUUGAUCCUGUUGAUCAUGUGGGGCCAUUUUCUUUCGGAUGUGACUGAGCAGGCAGAGAAGUUUGCUCAGCAAGGUUGAACAACUGCUCAUAAUGUCAUCACAGUUCUGAGGUGAUAGUUCAACUGGCAAAACUUCUGGGUGGUGGGUGGGGCUUCUGAGGCUUUGUGAUGUCACCUGAAGGUGAGGCUAGGGUCUGAAUGGAAGGUUCUAGUCCAGAAAACUCUACCCUCUGAGCAUCACCUCCCUUCAUGUCUGGCCUCCAGAUUGAAAAGAGAAUUUCCCAAUUGCCUGUGAAGAUGCCCUGUCAAUCCUUUUUUAUCUUUCUUACUUUUCAUUUUGAAAUAAUUUUAGGUAUAUAAGAAGUUGCAAAGACAAUACAGAGAGGUCCCAUGUACCCUUCACCCAGUGUCCCCCAAUGGCUAAUCCUGUGUAACUGUAGUACAAAAUCAAAACCAGUGAAUGGACAUUGGAACAAAUCUGUGCAUAUAGUUCUAUGGCAUUUUAUCAUACAUGUAGAUUCUUGUAACUAUCACCAAAAUCAAGAUAUAGAACAAUUCCGUCACCAUGAAGAUCUCCUAGUGUUCACUUUCUACCAGUUGGAGACAGAUAUAGAGAACUUACCUCCCAUUAUGUCUCUUUACACUCUUCCAUUUAUAAUAUAAUUUUAUUAAAUAUUUCCUCUAUAUACAUUGAAAUUCACAUUUAAACAAUGUUAUGCUUUUUUUUUUUGGCUGAGGAAGAUUAGCCCUGAGCUAACAUCUGUUGCCAAUCCUCCUUUUUUGCUUGAGGAAGGUUAGCCCUGAGGUAACAUCUGUGCCAAUCUUCCUCCACUUUAUAUGUGGGUCACUGCCACAGCAUGGCUGAUGACUGAUAUAGGUUGGGGCCCAGGAUCCAAACCCAUGAACCUGGGCUGCCAAAGCAGACCAUAUCAAAUUUAACCACUAUGCCACAGGGCCAGCCGCAAGACAAUGUAUGCUUUUUGCUUCAACUGUCAAAUAUAAUUUAGGAAACACAAGAUGAGAAGAAAAGUCUAUUGUACUUACCCAAUUUAUUGUUGUCCAGCUUAGGUCAUGUAUAUUGUUCUGACUUCAAGUUCACUGAUUCUUUUGUCCACUUCAUUUUGCUAUUGAAUCCAUCCAUUUAGUGUUCUCUUUUUUGUGUGUGAGAAAGACUGGCCCUGAGCUAACAUUUGUACCAGUUGUUGUCUAUUUUGUAUGUGGUACACUGCCACAGUGUGGCUUGAUGAGUAGUGUAUAGGUCUGUGCCCAGCAUCCAAACCUGUGAACCCCAGACAGCCAAAGCAGGGCAUGCAAACUUAACCACUACACCACCAGGCCAGCCCCUAUCCACUGAAUUUUUUAUUUUGGUAAUUUUGUUUUUCAGUUCUAAAAUUCCCAAUUUGGUUCUUUUUGUAUAUCUUCAAUUUCUUCACCAAGAUUUUCUUUUCUUUAGUUGUUUCAAGUGUAUUCAUAAUUGUUUGUUGAAGCAUUUUUGAUUCUUCAAAAUCUUUGUCAGAUAAUUCCAAUAUCUGUAUCAUCUUGGUGGUGGCAUCUGCUGAUUAUCUUUUAGUUGAGAUUUUCCUGGUUCUCAAUAUGAUGUACGAUUUUGAUUGCAUGCCAGACAUUUUGGGUGUUAUGAGAUUCUGGACCUUAUUUAAAUCUUCUGUUUUAGCUAGAUUCUUCUGAAUAGUCCCAAUUGUAGGUGGGGGACGUUGCCUCACUAAUGCCAGGCAGGGGUGAAGGUCCAGGUUCUCCACUCAGCCUUGUCAACCCAGGGUGGGGCAGGGGAGGUAACUCCUCAUUGCUGGCUGGUUGGGGAAUUUCAGACUCCCCAGGGAGGCUCCUCUGACACUCUGUCAGGGAGGGGGAAGGGCACCUUUUUACCUUUAGGUGGGGAGCUCCUUACCUCUGGGCAGGGAUGAAAGUCCUUGCUCCCUACUCUGUCUUUUCUGAUACUACACUGGCAAGGGGUGAGGAAUGGGGAAGAGUACCUCAUUACAGCUGGGCAAGGGUGGAAACCUAGGGUUCCUGCUUGGUCUUUGCUUAUGGGGUGGCGGUGGGGCCAUGAUUUUUUCCAUGGUGUUUGGCUGGAGUAGGGCAGUUACUGCCUAAAAGUUAUCUUUCUUGAUGGAUUGCUUUUCCUACUCCUUUGGCUAGAGACAGCAAACAGGCUUUUCUUGAGACUUUAUUUUGUCUGUGCCCAUUGGCAUUUCCAGGUUGCUUCUCCAGCACCCAGUCCAGGAUAGAUGAGGCAAGAAGAAAACCCAGGGAACUGUCAUGCUGACCUUUGGGUUCCAAGGUCCCUAGUCAGUCUGCCUUCUUCUUCUCAACUUUCAGAGUCUUCUUAUGUUGGUUUUAUAUAAAAUGUCCACGGUUUUUAACUGUGCUUAGCAGGAGGAACAGGGAGAACUGAAUUUACUCCAAGUGCAUCUACUCCAUUGUGGUCUGGAACCUCUGGAUGCCAUAUCAAGAUUCAGGCAGGUGACAACAGAAUGGGAGCCACAGGAUUUGCAGUCCAAGGACUCAGAAAGAAGAGAAGGUAAUUUUGAGAGAAGCAAACACACGGAGGAGAAGGAGCUGUGAAGACAGAGCAGAGAGAGAUGCAGCCACAAGCCAAGGAACAACCACAGCCACCAAAAGCUGGAAAAGGCAAGGAAUGGAUUCUCCCCUGCAGCGUCUGAAGCAAGCAAGGUAUUGACGAUACCUUGAUUUUGGACUUCUGGCUUCCAGAACUGUGAGAGAAUAAAUUUCUGUUGUUUUAAACCACCAAGUUUGUGAUAAUCAUCUAGUCCAACUCCUUUAUCUAACAGAUGAGGAAACUGAGGUCUGAAAAAGGAAAGUGACCAAGUCACACAGUUAUUGGCUCAGUGAGUAAAAGGACUGGGAUUCUGGUCUCCCUCUCCUAGUUCGCUGAAACGUCUUUUUCAAACAUCUUUAUUGAGAUAUAAUUCACAUACCAUACAAUUCUCCCAUUCAAAGUCUACAGUUCCAUCUUUUUCUAUAUCUUCACAGGGUUGUUUGAACAUCAUCACAAUCUAAUUUGAGAAUGUUUUCAUCCCCUCUCAGAAGAAACCCUGUACUCCUUAGCGUUCUUGUGUCUUUUAUGGUUCCUUACUUCAGGCAUAUUGAUCUCAUAUCCCCAACCAGACUGGGCUCCUCAGUGCCUUGUCUUCUGUACUCUUCUCUCAUUCCCCAUUCUGCUGCUUCACUCGGGGCUGAGGUUUGAGUGGUUACCCCUAACUCGCAUUAGAUGGGGUACUGAGGAGUCUCUGCUGGGGCUCUGGAGCUGAUAGUUUCCUUUAUGCUCCCAGUUAGGUUGCUGACCUGUAGGAAAUGGCCCAACAACUCAUCAUUCCCUGAACUGACUGUCGAAGAUAUCCAGAUUGAACUGUCCUUUUAUUUCUGGAAAGGGAGGGCCUAGAAACUGAGACACGCUGAAGUGCCAGGCAGCUUGAGCUCCCUUAAGUAUCUCCAGGGAAACUCCACUGACUCACCCACCACACUACCGAGGAAAAGUUUACCGCUGGCUGCGGCCAGCAUCUCUGCAUGACCUGGACGGUGGUGUCUGGAAGCCAAAGGAGAAUUAGAAUAUGAUAUUGGGGAACAGUUUCUCCACAUUCCUGAGGUUUUCUUUCUUGGGGCAGAAACCCUAUUACUAACAUUCCUGGCCUCUCUCCACUCUGGUUUUCACUCCCUUCCCACUGCGCCCCCUAGGUGCAGAGAACAUCCACUUGGGUCUGCUCCUUUCUGUAAGUUUUACAGGGGUACGCUCCCAUGAGCAAGAGGCCUAUGGUUUUCCAUUGAUAAUUAUGAUGGGGUGGUGAGUCAGUCUAAUUCUGAACUUCCCUGUUAGGAGUCCAUUGUGGUUGCACGCCUAAGCUAUAUCUUCCAAUACGGUCUUUAUAAAGGUCACUUUUGCCAUCUGCUUCAUUUCUCUAUCUCCACUGGUUCAGAAUUUGGGUAAGGAAAAGAGACUUGUUACAUAUUCAGGUGAAGAAAAGGGAGGUGUUAAUAUAUUGACCAUUUAAAUCCCAAACACACGAGUCCUCCAUAAACUCUGGAGGUUCUGAGUUGUGAUGGUUAAUUUUAUGUAUCGACUUGACUGGGCUAAGGAAUGCCCAGAGAGCUGGUAAAGGUUAUUUAUGAGUAUGCCUGUGAGAAUGUUUCCAGAAGAGACCAGCAUUUGAAUCAGUAGACUGAAUAAAGAAGAUUGUCCUCACCAAUGCAGGUGGGCUCAUCCACUCUGUUGAUGGUCUGAAUAGAACAAAAAGGUGGAGGAAGGGUGAAUUUGCUCUCUGCUUGAGUUGGAACACCCAUCUUCCCCUGGCUUUGGACAUCAGUGCUUCAGGUUCUCAGGCCUUUGGACUCAGACUGAAUUACACCCCCGGCUUUCCUGGGUCUCCACCUUGCAUACGGCAGAUCAUGAGAUUUUUUUGUCCUCCAUUAUCACAUGAGCCAAUUCCUAUAAUGUACACACACACACACACCCCUAUUGGUUCUGUUUCUCUGGAGAGACCUGACUACUAUGUGAGUCUUAUCUAGAUGAUGGUAACAGAGUCUGAAGAGCUUCCCAGCUUUCGGUGUCUCUCACUCCUUGUUUAUGGAGAGCAUUUAGUUUAAAUUUCUAAUAUAGAAGAGAGGACAUUAUAGUUUACUAAGCCUCUGUUAAGACACUCUCCUUGGUGCUUUGACAUGUUCUUUUAUUUAAAAGGAGAACUCUGAGAGACAGUAAUAGCAAUAAUUUAUUGCGUUCUUUCUUUCUUUAACACCAGCUCCUGGGCUAAGUGCUCCACAUGCAUCAGCUGGCUUAAUCCUCUGAGGCAACUGAGGCUCAAAGAGAUUGAAUAAUUUGCUCAAGGUUAUGCAAAAAUUUGUUCUAGCACCAGACAUUUAACUUCAGGUGUUUUUUAAAUUCCAACCCAGUGCUCUUUUU
RNAcentral lists this long non-coding RNA (14877 nucleotides) under Equus asinus (donkey). RNAcentral's name for it is "lncRNA (ENSEASG00005034058.1)". The record is from RNAcentral. Lineage: Eukaryota; Metazoa; Chordata; Mammalia; Perissodactyla; Equidae.